RNAcentral lists this ribosomal RNA (229 nucleotides) under uncultured bacterium. RNAcentral describes it as "partial 16S ribosomal RNA". It matches the Rfam family "Bacterial small subunit ribosomal RNA", at positions 568 to 796 of the family's 1533-position model. The record is from RNAcentral.
CGCGUAGGCGGUCUCUUAAGUCAGAUGUGAAAGCCCGGGGCUUAACCUCGGAAGUGCAUUUGAAACUAAGGGACUUGAGUAUGGGAGAGGGAAGUGGAAUUCCUGGUGUAGCGGUGAAAUGCGUAGAUAUCAGGAGGAACACCGGUGGCGAAGGCGACUUCCUGGACCAAUACUGACGCUGAGGCGCGAAAGCGUGGGGAGCAAACAGGAUUAGAUACCCUGGUAGUCC